UGAGCAAUCUGCCCUUCUCUUUGGAAUAAGCGUUGGAAACGACGUCUAAUGCCGAAUACGACCUCCUUUCGCAUGAUCGGAGGUGGAAAGCUCCGGCGGAGAAGGAUGAGCUCGCGGCCCAUCAGCUAGUUGGUGUGGGUAAUGGCCCACCAAGGCGACGACGGGUAGCCGGCCUGAGAGGGUGACCGGCCACACGUGGGACUGAGACACGGCCCAGACCUCCGUACGGGAGGNAGCG
This 238-nucleotide ribosomal RNA is filed under the name uncultured bacterium. Its description in RNAcentral is "partial 16S ribosomal RNA". It matches the Rfam family "Bacterial small subunit ribosomal RNA", at positions 118 to 353 of the family's 1533-position model. The record is from RNAcentral.